RNAcentral lists this ribosomal RNA (253 nucleotides) under uncultured bacterium. RNAcentral describes it as "partial 16S ribosomal RNA". It matches the Rfam family "Bacterial small subunit ribosomal RNA", at positions 524 to 776 of the family's 1533-position model. The record is from RNAcentral.
UACGUAGGGGGCAAGCGUUGUCCGGAAUCAUUGGGCGUAAAGCGCGUGUAGGCGGCUAGGUAAGUCUGCUCUGAAAGCCCGGGGCUCAACCCCGGGAGGCGGGUGGAUACUGUCUAGCUCGAGUCCGGAAGAGGAGUGUGGAAUUCCUGGUGUAGCGGUGAAAUGCGCAGAUAUCGGGAGGAACACCAGUGGCGAAGGCGGCGAUCUGGGAAGAUACUGACGCCGAGGUGCGAAAGCGUGGGGAGCAAACAGG